This 450-nucleotide ribosomal RNA is filed under the name uncultured bacterium. RNAcentral describes it as "partial 16S ribosomal RNA". It matches the Rfam family "Bacterial small subunit ribosomal RNA", at positions 354 to 796 of the family's 1533-position model. The record is from RNAcentral.
GUGGGGAAUUUUGGACAAUGGGCGCAAGCCUGAUCCAGCAAUGCCGCGUGCAGGAAGAAGGCCUUCGGGUUGUAAACUGCUUUUGUACGGUACGAAACGGUCCUGGUUAAUACCCGGGGCUAAUGACGGUACCGUAAGAAUAAGCACCGGCUAACUACGUGCCAGCAGCCGCGGUAAUACGUAGGGUGCAAGCGUUAAUCGGAAUUACUGGGCGUAAAGCGUGCGCAGGCGGUGCUGUAAGACAGGCGUGAAAUCCCCGGGCUUAACCUGGGAAUUGCGCUUGUGACUGCAGUGCUGGAGUGCGGCAGAGGGGGAUGGAAUUCCGCGUGUAGCAGUGAAAUGCGUAGAUAUGCGGAGGAACACCGAUGGCGAAGGCAAUCCCCUGGGCCUGCACUGACGCUCAUGCACGAAAGCGUGGGGAGCAAACAGGAUUAGAAACCCGUGUAGUCC